RNAcentral lists this ribosomal RNA (722 nucleotides) under uncultured bacterium. RNAcentral describes it as "bacterial SSU rRNA". It matches the Rfam family "Bacterial small subunit ribosomal RNA", at positions 44 to 749 of the family's 1533-position model. The record is from RNAcentral.
GUGCCUAAUACAUGCAAGUCGAGCGGACAGAAGGGAGCUUGCUCCCGGAUGUUAGCGGCGGACGGGUGAGUAACACGUGGGUAACCUGCCUGUAAGACUGGGAUAACUCCGGGAAACCGGAGCUAAUACCGGAUAGUUCCUUGAACCGCAUGGUUCAAGGAUGAAAGACGGUUUCGGCUGUCACUUACAGAUGGACCCGCGGCGCAUUAGCUAGUUGGUGGGGUAAUGGCUCACCAAGGCGACGAUGCGUAGCCGACCUGAGAGGGUGAUCGGCCACACUGGGACUGAGACACGGCCCAGACUCCUACGGGAGGCAGCAGUAGGGAAUCUUCCGCAAUGGACGAAAGUCUGACGGAGCAACGCCGCGUGAGUGAUGAAGGUUUUCGGAUCGUAAAGCUCUGUUGUUAGGGAAGAACAAGUGCGAGAGUAACUGCUCGCACCUUGACGGUACCUAACCAGAAAGCCACGGCUAACUACGUGCCAGCAGCCGCGGUAAUACGUAGGUGGCAAGCGUUGUCCGGAAUUAUUGGGCGUAAAGGGCUCGCAGGCGGUUUCUUAAGUCUGAUGUGAAAGCCCCCGGCUCAACCGGGGAGGGUCAUUGGAAACUGGGAAACUUGAGUGCAGAAGAGGAGAGUGGAAUUCCACGUGUAGCGGUGAAAUGCGUAGAGAUGUGGAGGAACACCAGUGGCGAAGGCGACUCUCUGGUCUGUAACUGACGCUGA